RNAcentral lists this ribosomal RNA (505 nucleotides) under uncultured bacterium. RNAcentral describes it as "partial 16S ribosomal RNA". It matches the Rfam family "Bacterial small subunit ribosomal RNA", at positions 28 to 507 of the family's 1533-position model. The record is from RNAcentral.
GACGAACGCUGGCGGCGUGCCUAAUACAUGCAAGUAGAACGCACAGUUUAUACCGUAGCUUGCUACACCAUAGACUGUGAGUUGCGAACGGGUGAGUAACGCGUAGGUAACCUGCCUGGUAGCGGGGGAUAACUAUUGGAAACGAUAGCUAAUACCGCAUAAUAUUGAUUAUUGCAUGAUAAUUGAUUGAAAGAUGCUAUUGCAUCACUACCAGAUGGACCUGCGUUGUAUUAGCUAGUAGGUGAGGUAACGGCUCACCUAGGCGACGAUACAUAGCCGACCUGAGAGGGUGAUCGGCCACACUGGGACUGAGACACGGCCCAGACGCCUACGGGAGGCAGCAGUAGGGAAUCUUCGGCAAUGGACGAAAGUCUGACCGAGCAACGCCGCGUGAGUGAAGAAGGUUUUCGGAUCGUAAAGCUCUGUUGUAAGAGAAGAACGGGUGUGAGAGUGGAAAGUUCACACUGUGACGGUAUCUUACCAGAAAGGGACGGCUAACUACGUG